RNAcentral lists this long non-coding RNA (4218 nucleotides) under Solanum tuberosum (potato). RNAcentral's name for it is "long non-coding RNA (STUB_LNC002469)". The record is from RNAcentral. Lineage: Eukaryota; Viridiplantae; Streptophyta; Magnoliopsida; Solanales; Solanaceae.
UCGAGAAGUGACAUGAAAAAAUGCGUCUUCAUUGCAGGGUAUCGUGAGACCACCCAUUGAAUGUUGAAAUCCAAAUUCUUCCUCUGAUUUCUGAAGCAAUUCCUGGAAUGAAGUGUGAUUCAGGUAUGCAAUUGGAACUACGUAUCUCUUCUUCUCUGUUUCUCCUACGUAAACUGCAAAGUGUCCUUUUGGUACAUCUGAUAUUUGGUUCCUAGUUAAAACAGAGUGCAGUUUGUGGAAUUGCUUCACACCGGAAAUAAUUGAUGGUAAACGAAUAAUACCCAUCACUAGAUCUUGUUAUUAGUGGUAGAUAUGAAUUCAGAAGAAUAAUGCAGUUAAGGUGUUUGAUGAUUUGACUGACUGGGAAUGGCGAUAUUUAUAGUAGCUGCUGGAAAAUUAUAUAUGUUGCGUUCCACCGCAGCUCAGCUGUCCUUGUGUACAAUUGGGGUCCAACUUCACAUUAUCAACAAAUAAAAUACUCCUACCCAAUUCCCAGCAAAUAAUUAAUCAGCCCAUUAUUGUAUUCCUUCCAAAAUCUGAUAAAUUGUGAAUUUAAGUUCCUACUCCACAAGACUUUGACCUGACACUUAGUUCUCAUGUUCAAAACUCAAUAAAGAAAAGAUUAGGUAAUUAUUCUUCUGUUCUAACAUAGUUACUUGGUACAUGUUGCUGGUGGAAAAUGACAUAUAUCCCGUGAAAUUAAUUAAGGUGUGCGAAAGCUGGCCCGAACACCACCGUCAUAAAAAAAAAAAAAAAAAAAUUGUUUGGCUCAAAAAGAUAAAAGUAGUGAGAGCUAAUUAAUCAAAUUGAAUCUGCCAUAUAUCCACUUGAUUAUCUCGUCCUGAAUUUUGGUGGGCAUAAGCUGGUCUAUCAAAUUGCAACUCCCAUACUGCCUUGAAGUACCUCACAAGUUAGAACUAUAUAUUAGUAUCUUCUACUUCUGCUAAAAGUUGUGAAGUCAUUACUCAUUAAUGAUCUAAAGAUAACUUUUGGUACAAAUUCCUACGUACGUACCAUGCCUCCUAUUUUCUGCGGAAAUAACUGCAUGCCCACAUAUAUAUGUCUUGGUUUAGAAUUUUCAUAAAUAUGCAUGACAAUUGGCAGCACAACAAAUUGUGUAUUUUUGGUGUUGAAUAUUCAACUUAAUUAUAUAUAUGUUCCCAACUAGUGACUACUGCCUACUUGCAUGAAAAUAGCAUUAUUUUAAUGAGUAGUCAUUUACUAAAGAACUUUAUUUCUACCGUAAGAGAUAUGAAAAUAAUGUCAUUUUUUUCUAUUAAAAUUGUAAGAGUCCAAGAGAUUUCAUUUCCUCCUAUUCCUCUCUUGAUUAUAUGAAAUUAAAGUAGAAAAUUGAGAAUGUUUUGAUUAAGAAAGAGAAGGAUUUUAUCUUAAUUAACUACUACUAAUAAUUAUAUCGCUGAUACAUAUUCAGAUGAUAAAAGAUCAAAUGAUUGGAACUAUAUUUUCGAUAAAGAUCAGAUUCAGUAGGUUUGCUUAAUCUAGUUAAUAUUGUUACGAGUUCAAUUUUCCUGUCACUGCUGACGCUGUUCAAUAAUUAGAUUUCCUUAUUAUUAAUUCUGCUAAAAAAGAAGAAGGAAUAAUUAAAGAAAAUUCUUUUGACAUCUAUUAUUCCAAGUCUGUGAUCCAGAUCCAGAUAAUUAAAAAAUUGAAAUUCCAUGUAAACAUAAUCAAUGAGCUUGACUUACUAAACUCAUAAUAAAUUAAAGGUCUAACCUAUCGGUGACCCCCUAAAGUUGGCAGCAAUUUUCACUUACACACUUUAACUGCAUGCCCACCUAUAUGUGUCUUGCUCUUGAUUUUUCAAUAAUUAUGUUCAGCACAACAAAUUUUUGCUUUUGCUUUUUCCUGUUGAAUUUUCAACUUAAUUACAUAUAUAUGUUCCCAAACUAGUGGCUAGCUACUUGCAUGAAAAUAAACGAGUGCUAGUUUUACCAACUCUGCCAUUUAAUUUGAUGAUCAGCAUGCAUUUGAAACUUGUGAAUUGUAUGAUAAUCUUCUUAUUUAAAAAGUUUAAGUUGUUACGAAGAUCAUAUGUUUGUUUACCUUAUAACAGUUCCUUCUUGUGUGGGUCAGAUUCUUUUUUUUUAUUGAGCCAACCACAUUUUUUUAUAAUGAUGUAACGUCACUCAUGCCUUAAGACAUCUGUCUGAAGUGUGAAAUAAUCUUAUUCGAAAGAUUGAGCUAUUAGAGAUAUUUAAUUCAUUUAAUCAUAUUUAGGUUCCACAUUAUAGUCACUGCUAUACUACAAGCUUUCGUACUCUCUAGAAAGAAUCAUACAUUUAUUACUAAACUACUUUCGUAGAACUAGGACAGGAAGUUCUUUUGUUGUUGCUUGAAUCUUAGCUAUUUAAAUAAAAUGAGAUAUUACAACUAUAACAUUAAUCUAAAUUUCAAAACAUUAUAACGGUGACUUACAACUAAUGAAAAUGAAAAGAGAAAAAAAGACGAAAAUAGCACUCCCAAGUGUGAACAAAAGUAUUUCGGUACUAUAAGUUUGAUCUAACAACCCAAUGAUUUAAUUAAGGAACGACUAACAAAUAUCCAUUAUAAAUUGCUUAUAUUGACCAAAAUUAUACUACCUGUACGCAUAAUUUAAUGCUCCGCGUAUAUAUCAUUUUGAAAUUUAUGGAGCGCAUUAAUUAUUCUGUAUUGAGCUACAAGCCUACAACUACGAAGUUGCCGGAUCAAGGAAAUGAAAAAGAAUUUAUUAGUAUUUGACUCUACACCAAUCACCGCUAACGCUGUUCAAUAAUUAGAUUUCCUUAUUAGUAAUUCUGAAAGAAGAAAAGAAGGAUUCAAAGAAAUUUCUUGACAACAGUUAUUAAGCAUAAUCUAUAUCAAUAAUUAUACUUGGAAUAAAUUAAAAGAAUUUCUAUGUGGGUUGUACAAAAGAAUUAGCCAACAUAACCAUCGAUUAUUACUUGUAGCAACAUCCUUCUGUAGUUGUGUUGCUAUUGUUUCAACCAGAUGUAAAAUUAGAAGUAGAAUUGAUUAAAAUAUCAACGUGAUAAUUAUUAUAGGUGGUUGUUUGAAUCCCAAAUUUCAUUGUGCUGCACUAAAAUUGUAACGUUAUCCAUCACUAGAAUUCACAUAGAAGGUUGCUUGGGGAAGAAGAGGAAGACAACUUUGGGAAAAGAGGCAAAAUCCGUGUGAGAAUAGUUUUGCACUGAAUUAUAAAAAGAAUAAUGGUGUAUCAGCUAUUCAGUUUGUAAAUAGUUUCAAUUUUUGGGGUAUAAGUGUUCUUUUCCCCUUUUAAAAAGUAAAUUAAAUCCAACACCUAAUUUCACUAGAAAGAAAAAAUAGAUUUCUUGACAAGUACUUUUUAAGUAUUUUAAUUCCGUACACAUAAUAAAUAGAACUACACUAUCCACUACGAAUACACUAUUACUUCCACUUUUCUUUUUAAUCUUGUCGGUCCAAACAGAAAAUUACAUCUUUCCAUAAUUAAAAAUGAUUUCUAUAGAAAUAUCUAAAGUUUGUGUGUAGUUUUUUUAAGCUAGAGAUAAAUUAAGUAUAUAUGACAGUAAAAUAUGUCUAGUUAGAUAGUUUUUUAAAUUUUAAAAGUCGUUCUCUUUUUUCUUAAAAUUUGUAUCAAUCAAAUACAAUAAAUUCCACAAAAUUGAAUCUGUAUCAAUUAAUUAGUGUUUCGAAUUGAGAUAGAAAGAAUAACUGAUUGUUAAAUUCUACUGAUUUAAAAAAAUUUAGCAGCAUUAUUCUUAAACUGUUUAGUAUGAGCAACUAAAAUAUUUUACGAAGACAAUGAAAAAUUGUAAAAAAUAAAAAUGAUUGUAUUCUUUGCAAUUCUGUCAACAUUAUGAGUCAGUGAAAAGGCAAUUCACAUAAAUUUACCGCUCUUGCAUUGCAAGAUGAAAAAUAAAUAAUGAAAGAAAAACAGUAAGCUCUAAUAUAAUCUGUGACUAAUAUAAUUGCUUCUUCAUAAGGAAUUGUUCAAUCGAGAAGUGACAUGGAAAAAUGCAUCCUCAUUGCAGGGUAUUGUGAGACCGCCCAUUGAAUGUUGAAACCCAAAUUCUUCCUCUGAUUUCUGAAGCAAUUCCUGGAACGAAGUGUGAUUCAGGUAUGCAAUUGGAACUACGUAUCGUUUCUUCUCUGUUUCUCCAACGUAAACUGCUAAAUGUCCUUUUGGUACAUCUGAUAUUUGAUUCCGAGUUAAAACAGAGUGUAGUUUGUGAAAUUGCU